This 27-nucleotide non-coding RNA is filed under the name Drosophila melanogaster (fruit fly). Lineage: Eukaryota; Metazoa; Arthropoda; Insecta; Diptera; Drosophilidae. The record is from RNAcentral.
UAAAAAUGACCUAAGAGCGAAUAGUGU